AGCGAACGCUGGCGGCAGGCCUAACACAUGCAAGUCGAACGAACUCUUCGGAGUUAGUGGCGGACGGGUGAGUAACACGUGGGAACGUGCCUUUAGGUUCGGAAUAACUCAGGGAAACUUGUGCUAAUACCGAAUGUGCCCUUCGGGGGAAAGAUUUAUCGCCUUUAGAGCGGCCCGCGUCUGAUUAGCUAGUUGGUGAGGUAAAGGCUCACCAAGGCGACGAUCAGUAGCUGGUCUGAGAGGAUGAUCAGCCACAUUGGGACUGAGACACGGCCCAAACUCCUACGGGAGGCAGCAGUUGGGAAUCUUGCGCAAUGGGCGAAAGCCUGACGCAGCCAUGCCGCGUGAAUGAUGAAGGUCUUAGGAUUGUAAAAUUCUUUCACCGGGGACGAUAAUGACGGUACCCGGAGAAGAAGCCCCGGCUAACUUCGUG
Molecule: ribosomal RNA, 433 nt
Filed under: uncultured bacterium
Lineage: Bacteria
Description: partial 16S ribosomal RNA
Rfam family: Bacterial small subunit ribosomal RNA
Source: RNAcentral